This 81-nucleotide non-coding RNA is filed under the name Alicycliphilus denitrificans. Its description in RNAcentral is "SAH sequence". It matches the Rfam family "SAH (S-adenosyl-L-homocysteine) riboswitch aptamer". RNAcentral also lists the same sequence under 1 other name. The record is from RNAcentral. Lineage: Bacteria; Pseudomonadati; Pseudomonadota; Betaproteobacteria; Burkholderiales; Comamonadaceae.
UUCCCCAAGGAGCGUUGCAGCGGGCUGGGCGACCUCCCGUCAGGCUUGGGGCUUUUCUCUUGGCAACGACGCUCGCCUGUC